UGAAUCAGUAUUAAUCCAUAGUUCCUUGAAGCCUCCUUACUCAGCCCUCGAGAGAUCGUGGUAGAUUGUGAAGCACACGGCAAUGAGAGGAGAGGAAGCUUUCACAACACAGCAGCCAACAGCAAUGGUGUCACCAAAGGAGGGGCGGGGGCGCGUACAACGUUACUCCGUUGUAGCAAACUCAGAAGAAGUGUCACAUUCGAUCGAAAAAUGAGAAAGAUGGAGGGAGCAACUUAGGAGUGGGAUUAGACAUCGACGCGGACAACCCCUCAGGCCUACAAUGGAGUGAAUUUGCAAUAAGACUUGUAAGGAAUGCAUCGGUGGUUGAGUCGAGAGUUGUGAACCUUACCCACGCACCAUGCUCCGAAUCAGCGAAGCAUUGGUAGGUGCAUUGAAAUCAAGAGUAGGAGGAUGAAGUCACAUGCAAAUCAUGUCAUGUCACCAGGGCCUUAUCGAAGAUUUAGAGACGUAUGUUUGGUAUGUACGUACAGAAACGUUGCUUGGGUAUUUUAACCGGCAAUAGUUUACAUUUAUGGAUAAUAAUUCUCUAUUUUUAUCUCCCCUUCCCAAUGUAAUCACAGUAUUAUACUCUCAAUAUUAAU
RNAcentral lists this long non-coding RNA (602 nucleotides) under Musa acuminata (dwarf banana). RNAcentral describes it as "long non-coding RNA (MACU_LNC004597)". The record is from RNAcentral. Lineage: Eukaryota; Viridiplantae; Streptophyta; Magnoliopsida; Zingiberales; Musaceae.